RNAcentral lists this long non-coding RNA (1038 nucleotides) under Parus major (Great Tit). Its description in RNAcentral is "lncRNA (ENSPMJG00000003842.1)". Lineage: Eukaryota; Metazoa; Chordata; Aves; Passeriformes; Paridae. The record is from RNAcentral.
CACAAAGGUAACCUAGCAAAAUCCUGAGCUGGAGGAGAACUGCAGAACACUUGGGGAGAGGAAGGGCUGCCUUCUGCUGGAAGGGCAGGGGGAGAUGUAGGAGGCACCGGUGACAAAUUGCUGGGGCUCAGGUUCUGAGGUGGGGACGCUCUGGUCACUCUGACCCAGCCUGACAUCAUCCCUGCCCGGCCCCAUCCCACCCUGGCACACCAGGCACUCAUGGAGGAGUAAGGAGCUGGUGUUUGCUCAUCUGAAAGGAUUCCUCCACUGGAAAUGGGAAGGGGCAUUUCCCUGAAUCCCUGAAAGCUUUUCCCCCGAGUGCCUGCAGCAGCAGGGCUGUGGGAUGCCACAAAGCCCCGGCUGAGGGAUGGCGGGCACAGGCCCAGAGCCAGAUCAGCUUCAUGUCGAGGGCCCGGCUGAACGCGGUACAGCAGCUUGGGGCAGGGGUACAGUGUUGGCAUGUGGGAGUGUAGGAGCAGUGGAGGCAGGGCCUGGCUGAACACAGAACAAGAAACACGGGGUACAGCAACUUGGGACAGAGCUACAAGGAGCUGUUCUGCAUCCGUGGAGUUGAAAGGGUUUAUGGCUCAUAAAAAGAACUGACAAGCUGUAUUUCAUGAGGAUUAGGCCACAUGCCAAACCCUCCACAGGCUCACAGCUGAGCAGGGGAGGGCAAUGCCCAACUUCAGGAUGCUCUGGCAGCUGUGCCCUGGCCAGAGGCAGGAAAAGGAGAUUGCCACCUGCACUGAAACCUGGAGCUGUGACAUGUGGAUGUCUUGAGCAGUGAUGCUAAAAGUGUAACUUGUGGUCCUUAAAACCCAAUGAAGUACAUGGGACAGCUGAAGCAGAGGUUUCUCUUGUUCCAUGCAUAACAACGUGGGCUAGGAACAGGUUUAUCAAUACCAGCAACAGCACUGCUGCAUGUUCAUUAAUAUUUCUAGUCAAAGCUAUGUAUCUAUCCCAUAAACUCAUGGAAAGUUUCAGCUUUGUAGCAAGGGGCAGAGAAAUAAAAUCAUGAAGAAUGUUUUGGAUUUGGCA